Molecule: long non-coding RNA, 1161 nt
Filed under: Anas platyrhynchos platyrhynchos (common mallard)
Lineage: Eukaryota; Metazoa; Chordata; Aves; Anseriformes; Anatidae
Description: lncRNA (ENSAPLG00000020356.1)
Source: RNAcentral
AUGGCACGGUAUGGCACAGCACGGCACAGCAUGGCACAGCCUGGCACAGCACAGAACGGCCUGGCACAGCACAGAAUGGCAUGGCACAGCAUGGCACAGCUUGGCACAGCACAGAAUGGCAUGGCACAGCAUGGCACAGCUUGGCACAGCUUGGCACAGCCUGGCACAGCCUGGCACAGCAUGGCACAGCCUUGCACAUCAUGCAACACCACGGCACAGCCUAGCACAGCAUGGCACAGCAUGGCACGGCUUGCUUUGGCACGGCACGGCUCGGUGCAUCCCUCCAAGAAGGCCAAGGCUGCAGUGCGUGCCCGCCGCAGCAGGACAACGCGUCCCAGCCCACCCAGCACAGCGACGCUCCCGUCACCGCCGCCCUCUGUCCCCGAGCGAGGCGCACAAGGGGACGCUUUCUGCGGGGACAAGGGGGCUCUGUGCAGGGCCCGCGGUGCCACCCGGCCCCGCCGCCCCGGGGUCAUGCGGCCGCGCUGCCAGCGCCCCGCUGACGCCGUGCCCUCGUGCCUCACUGGGGCUUUGUUUUGGCCGCGGGGGACAAUUUGUGCUGGGGACCAAGGGGCUGAGUCCCACGGGACACGCGGCCAUCCUGCCACCGAGCCCUGCGUGCUGCAAACACCCAGAGCCGGCCUCGGAGCUCCGGGUGCAGCCAAACACAGGCAGCGGAGUCAAAAACACAACUGGGGUUUGGGGGAAAAAAAAAAAAGAACCAACAAAAAGACACCAAACCAGCUCUUUUGCUUACCUUGCUCUUCUUGCUCGCGAGGCUGCGGUGCUUGGCCGGGCCCGUGGCGGGUGUGCGGGCAGCAGAGGGGGACGUUUCUGUUGCUUUCUCUUUUGUUUUUGGUAAAAGUGAGGCAGGCACUCACACCUCACGCCGUGCUGCCAGCACACUUGCUCUGCCUGGGAAAAGCCGCUCGUAGCAGAAGAGGAAGCAGCAGCCAAGGCAGAGGGGUGCUGCUGCGAGCCCGGGGGGUGCCGCUGUGCCCUGGGGGGUUCCGGGAACCCCAAAAGGAAGGGGAUCCGGAGAGGACGGAGCCCGAAAGCUGGGGAUCCCCGAGCAGCCCAUGCUGGGGUGGUUGCUGCUGGCGCUGGCGGCGCUGGCGCGGGGCGGUGAGUGCUGCUGCGGCGUGCGGAGAUGAGAGAUAA